ACGGCGUCGAGAUGAUCCACUCUGUCAGGAUCCGCACGACCAGGCCUCUUCCGCUUGGUCGACCCCUCGCACGGGACUGGCGUCGCCAACGCUGGCCUCAUCAAGGGUCAAAAUUGAUUCCUCCGCUUUAGAUAAACUCUCUUCUCAAUCGAAGAAACCCUCUUCGAUCUCUCCCCCCAAAACCCUACCACCCACAAACCCUAAAUUUCUAACCAUUAAUUUCUGCAGCAAUGACCAUUUAGCCAUUAAUUUCUCUAAAGGAGGUUAUGGGAGUUGAGCAGGUUAUUUUGAGGGGAAGGAGCUGGGAGGAGAAUUCAGGGGAGGGGAAGGAGAAGGGGAAGAGUAAGGUUGAUCAGCAGGCUAUUUUGAGGACCCAGGUAUUUAUCCUCCACAAGUGAAAGUGUUUGCGUUAAGGCAGUUGUUGAAAUUUGAAAGACACUUUGUUUCAGAAAUCAUCGACUUUCAGGUAAAUAUCAGCUACACAGUUCAGAAAUUUACCUCAGUUCACUUAAGAGUUUAGAAAUUUACCUCAGGUAAAUAUCAGCCACGUUCAUAAAGUUGUUUAGUUGAUUCAAGCCCUGAACAACUUUUUAUGGUUUAAUGGGAGUUGCAUUUAAUAUUUAUUCCUAUCCAUGCUCGGUUAUUCUUCUUGUUUAGUGUACAAAUUGCUUCCCAUUUUAUGAUUUCUAAUAUUACAUAAAGUUGACAAGGAAGAUGUCCGAACAUGCAUGAGGCAAUAAAGCAAUAAAAGCAGAAUAUAGGAAAGUUUACUUUUAGCAGUGACAAGAGUGUACAGAUCAAAUGGCGAAGAAAUACCUAUAUCGUUCUUGUUUCCGUUCUAGCCUCUAAACACAAACUGGCAUCAUAACCAUACUCAUUGUUAGAUAAUAUCUAAAAUAUUGCAAACAAACAAGGCAGCAAUAGUCAACAUCAAGAAAAAGAUAACAACAAUUCGAAGUAGUAAAAUCAUCUAAUAUACUCAAAUACCAAAAUACAAAAUUUGUAAAAAGAAAUAGCCAAGUAAAAUGAAUCAGCCAAAGUGCAACAACAAGAAAUCAACCGUCAAAUAUAAAAAUUAGGCAUAAUAACUUAAUAAGUAAAAUCUGGAAUCUUGCUGCUGCAACUAAGCUAAUAUGGAUGGUACAUCUUAAAAAAGAUCUUCUUUGGAUCGAUCAAAUGGGUUCAUAGCACUUAUUUACAACAAACAAAUAUCUGGCUUUAUAUUUCUGCUUGGAUGCUCUCGAAAUAUACAUCUUGUGCCUUUAUAUUUGGCCCUCUCAUUGUAUUGUACUUAUUCAUCAAAACUUUGGUAGCCUCAUCUCCAUCUCUAACUUAUAACUUGAGUAAGAUGUAUGCAGACACUAACAAGAAAGCUUGUUAGGAAUCCAUCCUAUGCUCUUUCUUCGAGUUUUGCAGAUGAGCCAAUGGAGAUACCCCUCCAAUGUAUCACUACCUUAUAAAGGGUAUAGGUGAGUAUUUUUGUGAUACAAACCAUGAAGUUCUUUUAUGAAUACUUACUAAGGGAUACUGAUGUGAGGGUAUUUUGAAAUUGUAACAUGGAUGAAGAUUGGGAAGAUAAUGAUGGUGCUCUCAAUGCGAUAAUGAUGUUAUUCUUCAUAAGUGAAUAAACAUUUGAUUUUUUGAGUCACUCAUUAACUCCAUCUUUGCAAAAUUUAUCCUGAAAUUUUCAUGAAAACUUAUCUGAUAUAUGCGAUAGUGUUCAUCACUAAGCUUGAUAAUACUCCUUCAUUUUUCAGGUACUAUACGAUUAUUGAAGCCGAUCACAUCUUUUUUAUUGUAAAUCAAGAGAGAGCAGGAGUACAGUUCAGCAAUUUGAAUUAGAAGCUCUCAAUAUGCUGAGUGUAAUACUAAUUAUGACUUGAAGCAUUGAAAGUUCUCUGCGGUUCCGAUUGUAAAUAAACAUAUAAAUAGAAAAUUAGUUAUUAUCUAUGUAAACAAUUUAUGUAUCACGUUCCUUUUGUUAAUAGAGAUUAUUAGAGUAGUUGGAAUC
Asparagus officinalis (garden asparagus) is the source of this 2011-nucleotide long non-coding RNA. RefSeq lists it as uncharacterized. The record is from RefSeq and is a predicted model, not a curated record. The transcript has 3 exons. NCBI's taxonomy places the organism in Eukaryota, Viridiplantae, Streptophyta, Magnoliopsida, Asparagales, Asparagaceae.